CACAUGCAAGUCGAACGAGCAAGAGAGAGCUUGCUUUCUCGAGCGAGUGGCGAACGGGUGAGUAACGCGUGAGGAACCUGCCUCAAAGAGGGGGACAACAGUUGGAAACGACUGCUAAUACCGCAUAAGCCCACGGGUCGGCAUCGACCAGAGGGAAAAGGAGUGAUCCGCUUUGAGAUGGCCUCGCGUCCGAUUAGCUAGUUGGUGAGGUAACGGCCCACCAAGGCGACGAUCGGUAGCCGGACUGAGAGGUUGAACGGCCACAUUGGGACUGAGACACGGCCCAGACUCCUACGGGAGGCAGCAGUGGGGAAUAUUGCACAAUGGGGGAAACCCUGAUGCAGCGACGCCGCGUGGAGGAAGAAGGUCUUCGGAUUGUAAACUCCUGUUGUUGGGGAAGAUAAUGACGGUACCCAACAAGGAAGUGACGGCUAACUACGUGCCAGCAGCCGCGGUAAAACGUAGGUCACAAGCGUUGUCCGGAAUUACUGGGUGUAAAGGGAGCGCAGGCGGGAAGACAAGUUGGAAGUGAAAUCCAUGGGCUCAACCCAUGAACUGCUUUCAAAACUGUUUUUCUUGAGUAGUGCAGAGGUAGGCGGAAUUCCCGGUGUAGCGGUGGAAUGCGUAGAUAUCGGGAGGAACACCAGUGGCGAAGGCGGCCUACUGGGCACCAACUGACGCUGAGGCUCGAAAGUGUGGGUAGCAAACAGGAUUAGAUACCCUGG
RNAcentral lists this ribosomal RNA (725 nucleotides) under uncultured bacterium. RNAcentral describes it as "bacterial SSU rRNA". It matches the Rfam family "Bacterial small subunit ribosomal RNA", at positions 52 to 790 of the family's 1533-position model. The record is from RNAcentral.